Molecule: long non-coding RNA, 777 nt
Filed under: Strix occidentalis caurina (northern spotted owl)
Lineage: Eukaryota; Metazoa; Chordata; Aves; Strigiformes; Strigidae
Description: lncRNA (ENSSOCG00000012854.1)
Source: RNAcentral
AGCUAUUGUGAUGUUUGAGUGUUUUGUAAAUACAUGUCAGCAUGUUUGAAGUUAUUACUUAUCAGAGAGAGAUUGUUAGCAUCUUUAGUGUUUAAAUACAGUUUGCUAUGAUGCUGUUUUGCAGGCAGCUAAUGAAGAUAAGGAUCAGGAAGAAGAAAGCAGACCAUCCAUGGACUUAUUUAAGGCUAUCUUUGUGAGUUCGUCAGAUGAAAAAUCAUCUUCCUCUGAAGAAGAGAGUGAUGAAGAACAGCAACCAACUGCUUCAGUAAUAGAUACAGAAACCACCAAGCAAGUUGAUCUACCAGUCAGUUCUUCAUCUAAUGUACAAGAGAAUGUGGCUGCUGCAGCUGAUCCUGGUGUUUCUUUGUUGCCUGCUUCUACGCAGGAACUGGAUGCAGCAGAGGAAUUUGGACCAAAGUUGCCUCCAGCUUUUACUUCUGACCCUACCUGGCAACAAGAACCAAUGGUGCAAGCAAGUUUUCCUGGGCCUAGUAGGAAAGAAAAACAUAGGAAGAACAGAGAGAAACACAAGACUAAGAGAGAACACAAACACAAAAAGGAAAAGGUAUUUAAUUUAAAUAAACAGUUUACUGAUUCUCUGUUCUACCAGGCAGAAUUUUUUAUUAUUUAUGCUAGGUUGUAGAAAACAGAUAUACAGGGACUAGAUCUUAAGCAACUGAGUUCUGAGGUGUCUUGAAACCUGAACUUCAGAACAGAAAAUUAUCCAACUAGGGUGCUGCUUUUUCCAUAUAUACAAUGUGACUACAGAUACAAUAC